RNAcentral lists this ribosomal RNA (654 nucleotides) under uncultured archaeon. RNAcentral describes it as "bacterial SSU rRNA". It matches the Rfam family "Archaeal small subunit ribosomal RNA", at positions 508 to 1160 of the family's 1478-position model. The record is from RNAcentral.
GCCUAAAGCGUCCGUAGCCGGCUCUGUAAGUUUUCGGUUAAAUCCAUAUGCUCAACAUAUGGGCCGCCGGGAAUACUGCAUAGCUAGGGAGUGGGAGAGGUAGACGGUACUCCGUAGGAAGGGGUAAAAUCCUUUGAUCUAUGGAUGACCACCUGUGGCGAAGGCGGUCUACCAGAACACGUUCGACGGUGAGGGAUGAAAGCUGGGGGAGCAAACCGGAUUAGAUACCCGGGUAGUCCCAGCUGUAAACUAUGCAAACUCAGUGAUGCAUUGGCUUGUGGCCAAUGCAGUGUUGCAGGGAAGCCGUUAAGUUUGCCGCCUGGGAAGUACGUACGCAAGUAUGAAACUUAAAGGAAUUGGCGGGGGAGCACCACAAGGGGUGAAGCCUGCGGUUCAAUUGGAGUCAACGCCAGAAAUCUUACCCGGAGAGACAGCAGAAUGAAGGUCAAGCUGAAGACUUUACCAGACAAGCUGAGAGGUGGUGCAUGGCCGUCGCCAGCUCGUGCCGUGAGAUGUCCUGUUAAGUCAGGUAACGAGCGAGAUCCCUGCCUCUAGUUGCCACCAUUACUCUCAGGAGUAGUGGGGCGAAUUAGCGGGACCGCCGCAGUUAAUGCGGAGGAAGGAAGGGGCCACGGCAGGUCAGUAUGCCCCGAA